AACCUUCCCUACAUGGGGGAUAACUAGCCGAAAGGUUAGCUAAUACCUGAUACGAUCAUCAAGUGGCAUCAUUUGAUGAUGAAAGCAGCAAUGCGCGGAUUGAGGGGGCUGCGGCCCAUUAGCUAGUUGGUGAGGUAACGGCCCACCAAGGCAACGAUGGGUAGCUGGUCUGAGAGGACGACCAGCCACACUGGGACUGAGAUACGGCCCAG
Molecule: ribosomal RNA, 212 nt
Filed under: uncultured bacterium
Lineage: Bacteria
Description: partial 16S ribosomal RNA
Rfam family: Bacterial small subunit ribosomal RNA
Source: RNAcentral